Molecule: non-coding RNA, 24 nt
Filed under: Arabidopsis thaliana (thale cress)
Lineage: Eukaryota; Viridiplantae; Streptophyta; Magnoliopsida; Brassicales; Brassicaceae
Source: RNAcentral
GGUAGCUGAUCCUACUGUUGAUGC